RNAcentral lists this ribosomal RNA (496 nucleotides) under uncultured bacterium. RNAcentral's name for it is "partial 16S ribosomal RNA". It matches the Rfam family "Bacterial small subunit ribosomal RNA", at positions 28 to 506 of the family's 1533-position model. The record is from RNAcentral.
GAUGAACGCUGGCGGCGUGCCUAAUACAUGCAAGUCGAGCGAACAGACGAGGAGCUUGCUCCUCUGACGUUAGCGGCGGACGGGUGAGUAACACGUGGAUAACCUACCUAUAAGACUGGGAUAACUUCGGGAAACCGGAGCUAAUACCGGAUAAUAUAUUGAACCGCAUGGUUCAAUAGUGAAAGACGGUUUUGCUGUCACUUAUAGAUGGAUCCGCGCCGCAUUAGCUAGUUGGUAAGGUAACGGCUUACCAAGGCAACGAUGCGUAGCCGACCUGAGAGGGUGAUCGGCCACACUGGAACUGAGACACGGUCCAGACUCCUACGGGAGGCAGCAGUAGGGAAUCUUCUGCAAUGGGCGAAAGCCUGACGGAGCAACGCCGCGUGAGUGAUGAAGGUCUUCGGAUCGUAAAACUCUGUUAUUAGGGAAGAACAAAUGUGUAAGUAACGAUGCACGUCUUGACGGUACCUAAGCAGAAAGCCACGGCUAACUACGU